UGGUGACAAUAGCAUUGUGGUCCCACCUGAUCCCAUCCCGAACUCAGAAGUGAAACGCAAUCACGCCGAUGGUAGUGUGGGGUCUCCCCAUGUGAGAGUAGGUCAUCGCCA
RNAcentral lists this ribosomal RNA (111 nucleotides) under Shewanella algae. The record is from RNAcentral. Lineage: Bacteria; Pseudomonadati; Pseudomonadota; Gammaproteobacteria; Alteromonadales; Shewanellaceae.